UUUCGCUUUGAAACCAGAUCUUCCGCCAUCCUUUGCCAGUUAGCUCGCCUCACUCUCCUCACAUGAUAAAUUAAAUCGGACACCUGCUGCUUCACUGCGGCGCUCGUUCCGCUUACGCUAAAUUACGAAGGCACGUAGUCACGAACUGAAUUAAGUGCUUUAUUGCUAAAGGCUAAAACUUCAAUACGAUGGGGACGGUGCCGGUGGUCAAGUGCUAUGACCGGUAGGUGGGUUAAACACCGUGUAUCACCGGUAACACCGACUAUCGCAACAAGCCUAGUUUCUAUAAUCAGGUUACAUUUCACGCUAGAGAGGUUCCUGUGGUACUGAACGGCAUGUCAUGUACCUGUUGUGCUGGGAAAGCACUGUGCAACCACAUCGUAGCACUACUGUUUCAAAGUGCUCAUUACAGUACCAUGGGGUUCAAGACAGUGCCAUUGCCACUGUCAUGCACUAGCUCACUGCAGACAUGGCACCGUCCUAGGACACAGGGAAUUGCACCUGAGUCAACAAACUGCAUGGUAGUGUGUAAACCAGUACCAAAAUCCCAGGAUCGUGCCUGAACUGGUGUGAAAUGUACACUGUACAGAGCAUAUAGUGGCAUUUGCAAAAUACUGCACGGACUUCAGGACCUUAAUCUUGUGGACUCUAAGUUUGGCCCUGUGCCAUUUGGGUCUGUGCUCUCCUACCAGUGCCCUCUUGAAAUCAGUAGAGACAUUAUAAAACAUGCUCCUGCCCCUGAAUUUCCUCAACUGCCUGUUGAAGGUUACAAUUUUAAAUUUCAUUACAAUUUUCAGUCCAACUAUAAGCUACAAUGCCACUUAGAAAGCCUUAAGGUGUCGAGGGAAAUCUCUGCUGCUAUUGAGGCAGAAACCCGAAAGCAGUCUGAAUGCCAGUUGUGGACCAAGGUCCGGAAACCCCGACUGACAGCCAGUAGAUUCGGUGAAAUCUACCAUGUCCGUGGGGAGUCUACUGCCAAAGCCUUAGCUGCUCGCAUUCUUAGAGGAAGUCCCCAAACAGCUGCUAUGAAAAGAGGGCUGGACUUGGAACCUGAACUACUGAGGCAAUACUCGGAUUAUUGUAAUAUCUCUGUGAUGCAGUGUGGAAUAAUCAUCCACCCAGAUGCACCUCACCUUGCAGCUAGCCCUGAUGCUAGUCUUCGACCCAAGAGAAACAAUGCCAUUUGGAUUGGCAGAGGUAAAGAGUUGCGAUGUUGACAAUGUUUCUCAAGUAAAACACCUCUUCAAAGUUCACAGCCAGGCCUGCCUUAAGAAAAACCAUAAGUACUACUAUCAGGUUCAAGGCCAGCUGGCAUUAAGUGGACAAAUGUGGUGUGAUUUCAUAACAGAUACCAACACUGAUUUUACAGUUGAAAGAAUCUUUAGAGAUGAGGAGGUUAUAAACUCAUUGCGAAAUAAACUGGAUUAUUUUUAUUACAGCAUCUACAUGGAUGUAUUAUUACGUUGAGGCAUAAUUUUAAAAAGUAAGUAGUUUGUAAAAAAUAUGUAAAUAGUGUGUGUAAAUAAUGUAAAUAGAUGUAAACAUCUGUGAUUCCUGUUGUAAAUACUUUUUCAAUUUACAAUUUUUCAUUUUAGGUAAAUAUAAAUAGGGACCACUGACAAAAAAGCCUAUAUGCUUCUCUUAUGGUCCAUGGUUGCAUAAAACUACUGUAACCUUGUUGUUGUUUGUAUAUUGUGUUUGUAUAUUAGCUGCCGUGUAAGCUUUUGAUUUGUUU
Molecule: long non-coding RNA, 1735 nt
Organism: Paramisgurnus dabryanus
Lineage: Eukaryota; Metazoa; Chordata; Actinopteri; Cypriniformes; Cobitidae
Source: RefSeq, a predicted model, not a curated record